RNAcentral lists this long non-coding RNA (540 nucleotides) under Rattus norvegicus (Norway rat). Its description in RNAcentral is "long non-coding RNA NONRATT025727". Lineage: Eukaryota; Metazoa; Chordata; Mammalia; Rodentia; Muridae. The record is from RNAcentral.
GACAGGAAACUGAUACAGACUUAGGACGGAGUAUUACGCAACACCAAAAAAGCAAGAAGGGCAGAGACAUGCUACGACAGGAUAGGAGUCAUCGUGCUAAGAGACUUUAAAGGCUGUCUAUCAUAUCGUCUGUUUAUAUGAAAUGUGUGGAGCAGAAAAUAUCCAUCGCAGGCUGGCGUGGUGUAAUCCUAGGACUCUGGAAGCCGAGGUGGAAGAAUGGGAGGUUUGAGAUCAGUCUGGGCUGCACAGCAAAACCAUCUCAGAAAGCCAAAAAGAGGAAAGAGACCAUUUAAUCACAAUGUGGAUUACAGGUACCCAGGUGUAUCGGCCAUUUCCAGGAGACACUUUUACAUCACUCUUUUCCAAACUCUGGCUCUUGUCUUCCCACCCCCUCAGCCACCAUUUUUUUUUUUUUUGAGACAGUGUCUUAUUGUAUAGCCAGUCUGGAACUUGCUGUGUAGACCGCCCUGUCCUGGAACGCAAGAGAGAUCAGCCUGUCUCUGCCUCUUGAGGACUAGAAUUAAAACAAUGUUCCACCAC